Molecule: RNA transcript, 2834 nt
Organism: Nomascus leucogenys (northern white-cheeked gibbon)
Lineage: Eukaryota; Metazoa; Chordata; Mammalia; Primates; Hylobatidae
Gene name: GTP:AMP phosphotransferase AK3, mitochondrial pseudogene
Exons: 1
Source: RefSeq, a predicted model, not a curated record
UAGUAAAUGUCACGGUAAGCUUUAUGUGUAUUUUACCACAAUAAAAAAAAAGUGACCCUACAGCUAGCAGCUCCCAAAAGAAACUCCCACACCCAUUAGCAGUCACUCCCCAUUCUUCCUCCGGCAGCCCUGGCAACCAUGAAUCUGCUUUCUGCCCCUAUAAAUUUGCCUAUUCUGAGUGUUUCAUAUAAAUUGAAUCAUACCAAAGGUGGCCCUUUGUGUCUGGCCUCUUUGAGCACAGUGUUUUUAGGGUUCAUCCAUAUUGUAGCAUUUAUCAGUACUUCAUUUCUUUUUAUGGCCGAAUAAUAUUCCAUUGCAUGGAUAUACCAAAAUGUGUUUAUCCAUUUACUGAUGGGUGAAUGAAUUGUUUCCAAGCCAGCACAUUUUAUAGAGGAAAAGGAAAGCGCUGGUUAACUUGAACAAAAAAAAAAUAAAAGUGCUUUCUGCCAUCUGGGACCUUGGCUGUGGAUCAGGUGAGUGCACAGAUCAGACCAAAGCCCUACAGUUGGCAUGGCCUGGGCCUCUGUCCAUGGUUGCGGGGGCAUCUCCACAGCUACUGCAUGCAGUGAUCAUGGGGGCCCCAGCCCUGGGCUUAGGCAAGGGCACUGUGUUGUUGUACAUCACCAAACACUUCAGGCUGAGGCACCUCUCCAGCAGGGACUGCUCCAGGACAACAUGCUACAGGGCACAUAAAUUGGUAUGUUAGCCAAGGCUUUUCUUGACCAAGGGAAACUCAUCCCAAAUGAUGUUACGACUUGGCUGGCCCGUCAUGAACUGAAAAAUCUCACCUAAUAUAGCUGGUUUUCCAAGGACACUGCCAUAGGCAGAAGCCCUAGAUGAGCUUAUCGGAUAGACACAAUGAUUAACUUGUAUGUGCCUUUGGAGGUCAUUUAAACAACACUUCACUGCUUGCUGUUCAUCUGGCCAGUGGCCGAGUCAACUACAUUGAAUUCAACCCUCCCCAAACUGUGGGCAUUGCUGAUCUGACUGGGAAGCUUCUCAUUCGGCCUGAGAAUGAUAGACCAGAGACACAGUUAUCAAGAGAGUGAAGACUUAUGGAGCCAGUCCCAGAACUUUACCAGAAAAAAAAGGGAUGUUGGAAACACUCUCCAGAGCAGAAACCAACAAGAUUUAACGUCAUGUUUAUGCUUUCCUACAAACUAAAGUUCCACAAAAUCAGAAAGCCCCAGUUACUCCAUGAGGAGAAAUGAUUAUAACUAGUAAGAGGAGCAGAACCUCCUUGUCCUUGGAUUUAGAGGCUCCUUUUCCUAAGAAUGGAGCAUGUAUAAAUAAGAAUGUAUGCAUGUAUAAGAAUGUAUGCAUGUAUAAAUUCUUUGAAAAUUAUAUUAUUUCUACAGAUUUUAUUCUGGAUACUAAUGAUGUGCCAAAUUAAUCAGGUACUGAUUCAUCUUUUGAAAUCAUCUAAUGUGUUUUAUCCAGUUAUCUUCUAGCAGUGUGCAAUUCAAAAGCAUCAUCGGUGUCUAAACUUUUAAAACAUCUGUUAGAGCAAAAUUAAAAGAGUGAUUAGUAGUCUUUUUUCUUCAGUAAGAAUAAGUGGUUGAUAAAAUUUUCAUAUUUUUCUGGAAAAGUUUUUAAAAGUUACAUGUCAUUUGGGGAAAAUGUCUCAUAAGUUUUUGCACAGAGAUAUUUCUAGCCCUGUGGAACAUGGUUUUGUGAGACAUCAUAUCUAUAAAAUUCCAGAAAAACAGCAACUGGAUUUACAGAUCUGUUGCAACAUGCAAAUUCACUGCUGCCUUUACACUAAGAAAUUUAUAAGCUAGCCAUAUAUGCUAUAUUUAUUUUGUUGUUAAACAUACCUUAGGUUUACUCAGAAUUUUCAAUUUGCUAUACAAUUAUCAAUUAGCAUAUGGGAAUAUAUUACUUUAAGAUGACUUGUUUUCUUUUGAAAAUACAUAUGUGCUGAGGGAUAAGAUUUAUGUCAGAAAUUGACAUUGUAAGUUCUUGGAUAAGUUCUCGCAGCACAGUUUAAUGAAUUUUCAUUGGAAAAUGUAAUUUAAAGACUCACUUUUUCAUCUGUUACUCAGGUUCAGAAAUGUAUGUUUUAAGAUCUACUUGCCAGUUUCUCUUUUUGAUCCAAACAUAUGAUCUGCCUUGAUAAAUAACAACAUCUGGUACCAAGAAAAAGAAAGAAAAAAGAUUAAGAGUAAACCUAUGGCACUAUGUAAAGUGAACAUAUUUUGUUGUUACGAAAUAGAAAUAAUAGAUCAGGCAUGGCUGGGGAGUAUUCCCUUUGCAUAACAAACACAAGUAGUAAACAGGUAUAGCAACAAAAAGAAUUUACAUAAUGGUUAACAGGGAUCAGGAAAGUGACUUUCCUGAAAGAGUUAUUUAUUCCUGAUGACAUUGAUACCUAGUAGUGUUCGCUGCCACCCUAUCUUAAGGGGAAAGAAUUCUGCUGGUGAGUGUCAUCUGAGCAACCAUUUAAAAAUCCGAAUCAUUUUAGAUUCCUUAGUGGGGCAACAAGGAUGCAUGCUUAUGUACUGUGACUUGGUAGGAGAAGUGGGCCAAUAUGAGAGGUGGAGAUAAAACUCGACUGUCUCCCAUGGCAUAUUUACGUUUACUUGAUGCUAAAUCAAAUGAAACAAGCCCUUGUACAGCUGUUAUUAACUGCCUUUGAAAAUUUGGCCCUUGUUUCCCAGGAACUUGAAAUAAAAAUGCCAACAAAUGGUUCUUGUGUAUUUUGGUGGAAAAAAACUUACUUUCCUUUUCUUUUGAUUGAAAAAAAAUUAUUGUUGAUCUUUGAAAAUGAAUCAAGGCUUUAAAGAGGAUUAUAGUGGAUAUUGCAUUCUUUAUAAAACUUGCCUUAAUGCCUA